AUUGAUUAACGAAAAUAUAUCAAAUAAGUUGAAACUCAAAGUUUUAUUAUGAGUAUAAUGACUUCUGUUUUAUCUUAUGCUGAGUUUGGCAAGCUUGCAAACAUUAAUUUAACGUCGUGUAUUUUGAUAUAUUAUGAAAACAUUGCCAGCAAAUGCAAGUCGAACCUGAGGCAACGCCCCGUAACAUUCUUCCAAUCCCGCCAAUUUCUUAGCGACCAUCUCAUAAAGAUCUCACUACAGUGCAGAGAGGGAAGCGAAGAACUCAAAGAUGGAGUUCACCCUCCGCGGCAACGCGUUGAAGACCUUCACUCUCUCGAUGAAGUGCCUCUCCUGCGGCAGCAACGACCUCGCCAUUGAAGCUUCUCCUUUCCAGGUGAGUCGAUUUUGUCCAUAAUUCUUCGCUGACUCUCUCACCCACAUUUCCGGUCAAAAAGUUCGCUGUCGCCACUUUCUAUCCUCAGGUGCAUUCAUCGAGUGAAAAGCUUAGCGAUGCCCUGACGAGUGAUGCUUAGUUCAGAUGCUAUGCUGCCUCGUCAGGUAUUGGCUCGUUUCCUUAGAUAAAGUGUCCGAUUGAGAGUCCUUGCUAGCAUUUCAGUGGAGGAUUUGCUGCAGAAAUUUGUUUGUCUAGGUUCGUGAUUGGCCCUGUUGAAUAUGAGUAGAUCUUGACGUGCCCAAAUCUGAAGCUGGAAGAAUCAUCAGUACUAGUCGCCGAAAAUGUCUCGUAGGAAAAGUUUGACAUUCCUUUCUACGGUUGCUCCUAUCCUGUUUUGAUAAGGCUUUUUUGGUUUUGUUAGAGUUAAUUAACUUAAUCUGAUAUGGAGUUUACAACAGUAAUUUGGAUUUCCAGUUUGAAUCGAACUGGAUUACUUGGUAGAUGUUAUUUAUUGGUGAUUAU
This 895-nucleotide long non-coding RNA is filed under the name Eucalyptus grandis. RNAcentral describes it as "long non-coding RNA (EGRA_LNC005281)". The record is from RNAcentral. Lineage: Eukaryota; Viridiplantae; Streptophyta; Magnoliopsida; Myrtales; Myrtaceae.